This 358-nucleotide unclassified non-coding RNA is filed under the name soil metagenome. RNAcentral describes it as "partial contains 5.8S ribosomal RNA, internal transcribed spacer 2, and large subunit ribosomal RNA". The stretch from base 1 to 120 matches the Rfam family "5.8S ribosomal RNA", at positions 35 to 154 of the family's 154-position model. The record is from RNAcentral.
GAUGAAGAACGCAGCGAAAUGCGAUAAGUAAUGUGAAUUGCAGAAUUCAGUGAAUCAUCGAAUCUUUGAACGCACAUUGCGCCCGUCAGUAUUCUGGCGGGCAUGCCUGUUCGAGCGUCAUUACGCCCCUCAAGUCCCCUGUGGACUUGGUGUUGGGGAUCGGCGAGGCUGGUUUUCCAGCACAGCCGUCCCUUAAAUUAAUUGGCGGUCUCGCCGUGGCCCUCCUCUGCGCAGUAGUAAAACACUCGCAACAGGAGCCCGGCGCGGUCCACUGCCGUAAAACCCCCCAACUUUUUAUAGUUGACCUCGAAUCAGGUAGGAUUACCCGCUGAACUUAAGCAUAUCAAUAAGCGGAGGA